RNAcentral lists this ribosomal RNA (253 nucleotides) under uncultured bacterium. Its description in RNAcentral is "partial 16S ribosomal RNA". It matches the Rfam family "Bacterial small subunit ribosomal RNA", at positions 524 to 776 of the family's 1533-position model. The record is from RNAcentral.
UACGAAGGGUGCAGGCGUUACUCGGAAUUACUGGGCGUAAAGCGUGCGUAGGUGGUCUGCUAAGUCUGAUGUGAAAGCCCUGGGCUCAACCUGGGAAUGGCAUUGGAAACUGGCGGGCUAGAGUGCGGUAGAGGGUAGUGGAAUUCCCGGUGUAGCAGUGAAAUGCGUAGAGAUCGGGAGGAACAUUCGUGGCGAAGGCGGCUACCUGGACCAGCACUGACACUGAGGCACGAAAGCGUGGGGAGCAAACAGG